GAAACUCAGGCUAAUACCGCAUGAGCCCUUCGGGGGAAAGCAGGGGAUCUUCGGACCUUGCGCUAUUGGAUGAGCCUAUGUCUGAUUAGCUUGUUGGUGGGGUAACGGCCUACCAAGGCGACGAUCAGUAGCUGGUCUGAGAGGACGAUCAGCCACACUGGGACUGAGACACGGCCCAGACUCCUACGGGAGGCAGCAGUGGGGAAUAUUGGACAAUGGGCGCAAGCCUGAUCCAGCAAUGCCGCGUGUGUGAAGAAGGCCUGCGGGUUGUAAAGCACUUUCAGUGGGGAGGAAAAGCUCAAGAUUAAUACCCUUGGGUCUUGACGUUAUCCACAGAAGAAGCACCGGCUAACUCUGUGCCAGCAGCCGCGGUAAUACAGAGGGUGCAAGCGUUAAUCGGAAUUACUGGGCGUAAAGCGCGCGUAGGCGGUUUGUUAAGUCGGAUGUGAAAGCCCCGGGCUCAACCUGGGAACUGCAUUCGAUACUGGCAGGCUAGAGUAUGGUAGAGGGAAGUGGAAUUCCGGGUGUAGCGGGUGAAAUGCGUAGAUAUCCGGAGGAACAUCAGUGGCGAAGGCGGCUUCCUGGACCAAUACUGACGCUGA
Molecule: ribosomal RNA, 602 nt
Filed under: uncultured bacterium
Lineage: Bacteria
Description: bacterial SSU rRNA
Rfam family: Bacterial small subunit ribosomal RNA
Source: RNAcentral